Molecule: transfer RNA, 82 nt
Filed under: Bacteroidetes bacterium HGW-Bacteroidetes-1
Lineage: Bacteria; Pseudomonadati; Bacteroidota
Description: tRNA-Leu
Rfam family: tRNA
About the family: Transfer RNA (tRNA) molecules are approximately 80 nucleotides in length. Their secondary structure includes four short double-helical elements and three loops (D, anti-codon, and T loops).
Source: RNAcentral
GGCAGGGUGACGAAAUUGGUAGACGUAGCUGUUUCAAAAGCAGUCGCCGAGAGGCUUGUGGGUUCAAGUCCCACCCUUGCUA